GGGCCUAUAGCUCAGGGGUAGAGCAGCCGGCUCAUAACCGGUCGGUCCCUGGUUCGAUCCCAGGUGGGCCCACCA
RNAcentral lists this transfer RNA (75 nucleotides) under Negativicoccus succinicivorans. RNAcentral's name for it is "tRNA-Ile". It matches the Rfam family "tRNA". Rfam says of the family: Transfer RNA (tRNA) molecules are approximately 80 nucleotides in length. Lineage: Bacteria; Bacillati; Bacillota; Negativicutes; Veillonellales; Veillonellaceae. The record is from RNAcentral. RNAcentral also lists the same sequence under 4 other names.